CACAGUUUGUGCUGAUAAGGUGACCUAAUUUACUUAAAAGUGAAAUGGAGAAGCUCAGUGAAAAUUGAGUGAAUCCUAAAUUAUGUGUUGAACAGCUCCAUUAGCAGAAGGGCCAUAGGCAAAAAGGGUGGGGGACAUGUAGCCAGAAACAGGUGUUUACUCUGAACAGGAUUAAGAUAAGGGACAUGAAAUAAUCUCACUUAACUCAACCAUUUUGCCGCCCAAAAGGCCUGGUAGAGGAGGAGGAGGGUGUUUUAAGUAACCUAGUUUCUAAUUCUUUCUCCCUCUUUGUUAUAAAUGAUGCAGCUAAUGGCUUUCCUGCCAUUUCCUGCGGGGGGGGGGGUGUUAGUCCUCAAGACAAAGCCAUGAGUAUCAAGCAGUUUUCUCAGAUGAUUUUCAUUUUUUUCAGAUGAUUUUUUUAAUUGCAUUAAUCUUCCCGGAACAACUCUGAAAUUCUUUUUGUCCUUGCAUUCACUCUCCCAAGAUACCUAUGAACCACCAUUCAUCAUUUUAGACUUCCCAUCAUGUGACUAUGGCUCUUUUCUGAUGUUGUGGGCAAGUCAAAUCCUUUGAGAGGAUUUGCCACACAUAACUUCAUCAAUGGCUGUUGGUCUCUUCUGUUCUUCACUUGGCUCUUGAGAGGCCCCACAGCCUGUGCCCAAAUGACACAUGUUAGUGAUCUCUUCCCAAAGGAUCCUAUUCAAAUGCAACAGAAUUUCUUUGUAUAUUUGAAUAUUUUCCUGCAGCAGUUUGAAGCUGUGAGUCCCUGCUCUGUGCAUAGACCAUUAGAUAUCACUAUAAUCCACAAAGCUUGGAAAUAUUGCAGGACAUUUGGUGAAUUAAAAGGCAGUCUUGGGACCCUCUUAAGCCUACAGGAGAAGUUUCAACACAUGUUGCAAGAGGAGAAAGUAAUGCAAAGAAAGAGUAAUUUCAGUCUUCUCUGCUGAUUACCCCUCUCAGAACUCUCCCUCCUCUUCCUCCAUGGGGGUUUGCAAGGGCAGCUGGUUGCAAGGCUGCAGCUGUUCUUAAUUGUUGAUUUUAGCUUUGCAGUGGUCUCUAGUGGGAGAGGAUGCCAUAUCUGCCCCUUGGAAUGGACUUACAGGUGUUUGAGAAAUGUUUUCUUUUCUACGGGUUACUUGACACUCUUAACAGACAAGCUAUUAUGAUAUACUGGCUGAUGUCAGGAGACAUGGGCUUAAAUAGCGCUUGUCUUCUUCCUCCAUUCCUCUCACAUGGACCUGUUCAAGAUCUGCUUUUUGUGCAUUUCCCAGUCAUUCUCCUCUCCCUGCUCCCUUCAAAUGUGCAGGAUACAUCAACAGCAAAAGAGAAUAUCAGGUGUAAGAUCUUUACGAACUUGUUCAAAGCAGGCCCAGGUUAAAAUGGGUUUCAAAUUGAAAGGCCUUGUUUUUAAAAAAAGAGAAUAUAAGAAAUAGUAGGGUUUUUUUUUUUUUAAAGACUGCUAUUUGGGUAAAAACAAAACUGGUUUGAUUUUUGUUUUGUUUUUUAAGAAUGAAUAUGCUAGAACUUGGGUUUCAAGUUUGAGCUUGAGCAUACCUUCGUGCUUGUUCUGUUGACAUCAUGAUGGAGUUUCAUUUGCUGGCUGCAGAUGUCAUGUGUAAUGAUAGUAACACACUGAAUGUAUUCAUUUGAAUGUAUCAGUGUUAGCACAGUCCCUUAGAUUUUGGGCAACUAGGCCUUCUUCCCUGAACCCCAUACCUGCUCUGGCCCACUUCUGACCAAUUCCUCACCCUUACCCUGAUAGCCCACUUCUAGACUAUUCUCUGCGACAGCAUCUAGACUUCUGUGUCUACCCUGGUGUGCACACUCCUAGGUCUGAAGAGUGGCUAUAUUUGGAGGUGGAAUAAGAGGGAAUAGAGCCUGCACAUGCUGGCUGGAGUGUCCACAUGCAUGUAGUCUUUGCUUCUUAGGUGCAUCUCAGAGCUGGGUGAGCAAAGAAAGGGAGUACCCCAGGCAUAAUCUCCGUGUAUAUUCUUGCCUGAAUCUUAUGCAUAUUAGGGAUGAGCCUGCAUACUUCCUCUUACUGACCAGUGCAAUGCUUCAUGCUUCAAAACAGGCAAAUAAACGUGGGCUUUAAUUUUAAAAUUAGGUUAAAGGUCUCACUCAUUCUAGAUCUAAAAGGCGAGUGCAUAGGAAUUGAGUCUCAAAGGAAAGAGAAAGUGAAACUGACCAGUUUAUGUCCCCUUCCCACCUUUAUUUUUUGUGUCUUUUUAGGGCCUCACCUGAGGCAUAUGGAGGCUCCCAGGCUAGGGGUCCAAUUGGAGCUGUAGCUGCUGGUCUAUGCUACAGCCACAGCAAUGCCAGAUCCUUAACCCACUGAGCAAGGCUAGGGAUUGAACCUGCAUCCUCAGGGAUGCUAGUCAGAUUCACGUCUGCUGAGCCACAACGGGAACUCCCCCUUCACCUUUUUAAGAUAUGCGAAUUGCUUCUUUCAGCAGACUGCAUUAUUCUGAUGCUGAUUUAAAUGUUUGAAAGUUACUGAUACAACUUCGAAUAAAGUACAUCUGAAGGAUCAGUAGUAGCAUUUUGUUGCACUGCAGUAAAUGUUGAACAGUAUUUUAAAAAGCCACAAAUUGUGCCAGGGUCUUGAAGGCUGUUCAGGUUCAGAGUUAUGUUAAUAAGCAUAACCACAAAUCUGAAUUCUAUUAGUUAAGUCAAACACCUGGACCAAUCAACCAAGGAAAAGGCUCCACAAAUUCAUUACAGUUCCCAGCCUGGUAAGGGCUCUGUAAAUAUUUACUGUAUCUUAAAAAUUAACCCAAAUGUCUGAAAAUAAUUUGCUUGCAAUAGUAUUUUGUGUAAUAGUCCAAGACAGAGUCAACCUAAAUCUCAUGGUGUUUCAAGGUGUUUCAGUGGCACUAAAAGCCAACCCUAGCUUCCAAAGCCAUGAUGACGGGUCAUAGAUAUUUUAAAGUAAGAAAGUGGAGCUAAAUUUUCCACUUACUAUCAAGCAGAUGCAAGAGUAUACACACCUCAGUGAGAUUUGACUCAUAUCCAGAAAACUGGCCCACUUCAGUCUCAGCUUCAUAAUGGUUUCAGUGCAUUCACUGGCCAUUGUCCCUUUGAUCUUUGGUUCCCUGAUUUGAAGUGGUCUAACAUAAACAGUGCACAAUGAUUUCCUUUAGGUUCUAUCCAGGAGGGUAUAUUCUCUUUCUGUGCUUGUGGAUGAGUUUGGGAAUGGGCGACUAGAGGAGGAGUUAUGUAUUCAUAAGGUUAACAGGCUCUGAUGAGGAUGUUCACUGGGAGCCCAAGGUAAUUCAUUAAGUGGCUCCAGCCUCCCACUUCUUGGCUCCCUCUUUGCCUUAAAGCAUUUUGGGGAUUUUUUCCCCCACUAACGAUCCUAUUUCCUUACCCUAAACACCUUAAUUCAUAUUUUAUCUAUUAUGUUCCUAAAUGACCUUAAAUCUCAGUAUUUUUCCAAGGGACCUUAAACUCAUUAGUGGUUGUUAAGUUAAUGGAUCAAAUCAGCACUGAAAAAUGAAGUAGAAUGAAACGGAAGAGAAAUUAUCAGAGCACAUCUUAGGCAGCAGGGAAAGUAUUGGUUUUGCUAACAGUUGUGUGUAUAGGAGACAAUACUGAGUGGUGCUACAAAAUGUAUUCUUUACAUGGAUGGUUAUGAGAAGAAGGUGAAAAGCAAGGUCUUAGGGCAAGUUGUUUCAUUUUUAGGCACAUGGCAGGCAUUAGGGAGGGGGAGAUAUCACAGUAGGAGAUUUUCUAUACAUAACUUCCACUGCUCCAUGUAGACAGCCACCUUCCUAGUCUGCCUCCUCAUUCAGGGUCAUACCUUUUGACAUUGGUCCUUUAUCUUCGCUUGGUGGAGGAUCAUCAGGAAAUCAGAAUAUUCUUCAGUGAAUACUUUUUUGCUUGUAAGGUGCUUUUGCCCACUUGAUUAUGGAUUGUAGAUUCCAAAAGCUACGUUCAUCCCAGAGAGGAGGUUAGGUUCAAAUUCCUGCCUCUGAGAAUCCUCCAGCAUGAUAUUCUUUAGCUGGUUUUUGGUUUUUGAUAAUUCACUGUUAACAUGGCCACAGUCUAGAAGGUGAUGCAUUUAUCUGAAAGUAUUUCCUAUGUCUGAGUAACGUUUAACUUUUGAAGUUAUGUUGCUGUUAUUUAAGUGAGGUAUGAUUGGCCUAUGAUGUCUCCAGUAGCCAAGGGAUGAUUUUUGAAGGGAAUGCAACAAACAAGUGGUACUGGUUUUUAAGAAUGAAGCUAACAAGUAGAUAUCCUGGCUGCUAAGCAACUUCGUGGAGGCAGGGACAGCCCAGCAUCUUAUUUCUUUCUGGUUCAUGGAGGUCUCCACUGAGAGCUGUUUUGCAGAGGGACUGUAUCUCACCACCGUUCCAGAGCCCCAACUCUUCCACUCUGGGACCAGCUUUUGCCAACACUUCUAUUUAUUGCAAAUCAGUUACUGUUUAUUAAAAGCCCACUAGUACGAUUCCCCUGGGGUCUGUGCAGACUGGGGAGAACUCUGGGAUGAAAAGAUGGAGGCUUACCUCUAGAGCCUUUAGUUAGUGGAACUUACUUAUUUUCAAGCCCUUUCAUCAAGUGAAGCUGGCUGAUGCCAAGGAGAGUGGGAGUCAUAUUGGUUUUGUGUCUCCAUUGAAAGCUCUUCAUAUUCACCAAAAAAACCAAAAAAACAAAAAACCACCUCAGAGAAAUCUUAAGCUCAGAAGGAGUUAAGCUGUGUGUCUGCACAGUGUGGCUUUGUUCUGGCAAUGUCCCAUCAGUUUAGGUCAUUUCUGAUGACUUCACUCUCCUGGUGACAUCAGCUUCUAAUCUCCUGAAGGUGAAUUCAUGUGCGAUUGCUUCAAAAUACUCACUCCCCGAGUUCCAGGCCAUUCCCGUUGAUAUAUGGACAGAGCUUGUCUUUCCCAGGCCGCAGUCUGGUCUGUGUGCUGCAUUUGUGCUUACUGUAUCAUAUUACCAUGUGGACAUUAUGUCACUAACUGGCACAGCCCAGCUCAAAAAUGAAAUGUGCUUUCGCAAGCAAAAAACCAAAAGCUAACAUCACUCCUUCUUAUGCCCUACCCCAGGUAUAAAAUAAAAAGUUUAGAAAGGAUGGCUUGGCUAUAUUUUGGCUGGAUAUUUUUCUAAGUGCUCUCUUCUUUUUGCACCCUCUAUGUGGUCUGAAUGUUGCUGGUAUCUUUAUUAUAGUUUUCAGUUCAUUAUACCUACUAACUAUUAAAAAUGUUUGGUUACUGGUGGCACAAAUUAAAUCUAAGACCUUCAAAUAAUUUAGGUUAGCCUUGUUUUAAAAUAUCAAGUUUGUAAAUGAAAGUAGCCUGUUUACCUUCUAGGACCAUUUCCUCUCCUUUGCCUUUCAAAUGUCUUGAGAAAAUAAAGAGUUGUCAGGAAAGUAGCUCAGGCUUAUUGGAUGGGCGCCCAGAGUCCAUGUCAACCAAGGUGUUGUAGCUGUGCACUUGCCCAAAGCUGACAGGGAUGUGAAGCCUCUGGGGAUGGUGGGACAUGGCCUGGAAAGUCCCCAGAGUUUGCCUAGUCUUAGGCCAGUGUAAGCACAUGUUCUGCCCUUUUCUGCCCUUCUCCAGUUAUGUCACUAGGGAUACAGAAAACCAUAAGGUCUCUGUGAGCCCUGCUGUCCUCCCAUGGCUCCCAUCACUGCGAGGAGGGAGUGUGCUCUUUUGGGGUUCUCACAUGGGCCAAAAAGGGACAGAGAAGGGGAGACUGCCUGCAGAGAAACAGAGUCCCACACCUUUUCCAGGACCUUGUGCAUCCAUGUCUUCUUUUGAUGAAUGGCUCUUGGCAGUCAACAGUACCUUCUGAUGAAGAGCUGGCAGGGUGCACAUUGGAGUUUAAAAUCAUGUCAGGAAAAUUUCAUACCAACAGUAUUUCUAAGAGGAGAGCCUGGUGUUUGAACAGGCCAAAGCAAUGCCACUUUCACUGUUUAUCUUCAUUUCAUAUUGAAGGGAAAGAAAGAAACGAAUAGAGCAAUUUACUCUUAGAAGUGUCACAGUGCAAUUUUCAAAUAGUCAUGACUGUAAUAUUCAGUUUUGGAGUCAUUCCAUAGACUACAGGGGUACUGAAAACAUAUUCUUUUUUUCUUUACCUCUUCCCAUUUAGAGGCUCUUAUGUUUUUUGCGUAAGGAAGUAAAAUCUCUGAGUGACUUGCAGAUAUAUUUUUAUAUGUAGGGGUAGUUAGGCUUUCUGAGUUUCAGAUCUGUUUUAGUUGAGGAUGGGGUGGGGGUUGGAGAUUGGCUGCAUCAGAGGAAACUGGUGAACUCUUAGUCCAGGAUGCUGGCACCAUUACCAUUCACAUCUGCUCAGGACAUAUGAAGAGACUGGACUUUUUUAAGGUCUAGUACGAAGGAAACCAACUUCCUUUCUCCUCCUGCUGCAUUUCCAAAGUGGAAAUGUUAGAGAAGCCUCUUUACAAACACAUUUUUUUUUUUUUGGUCUUUUUUUAGGGCCGCACCGACCGCAUAUGGAAGUUCCCAGGCUAGAGGGUGAAUUGGAGCUGCUGCUGCUGGCCACAGCCACAGCCAUAGCAACGUGAGAUCUGACCCGUGUCUGUAACCUACACCACAGCUCACAGCAAUGCCAGCUCCUUAACCUACUGAGACAGUCUGGGAUCGAACCCAUGUUCUCAUGGAUAUCUGUUGGGCUCGUUACCGCUGAGCCA
RNAcentral lists this long non-coding RNA (6652 nucleotides) under Sus scrofa (pig). RNAcentral's name for it is "lncRNA (ENSSSCG00000061366.1)". The record is from RNAcentral. Lineage: Eukaryota; Metazoa; Chordata; Mammalia; Artiodactyla; Suidae.